RNAcentral lists this ribosomal RNA (460 nucleotides) under uncultured bacterium. RNAcentral's name for it is "partial 16S ribosomal RNA". It matches the Rfam family "Bacterial small subunit ribosomal RNA", at positions 338 to 795 of the family's 1533-position model. The record is from RNAcentral.
CCUACGGGCGGCAGCAGUGAGGAAUAUUGGUCAAUGGGCGCAAGCCUGAACCAGCCAAGUCGCGUGAGGGAUGACGGUCCUCUGGAUUGUAAACUUCUUUUAUAAAGGAAUAAAAUGAGGCACGUGUGCCUUUUUGCAUGUACUUUACGAAUAAGGAUCGGCUAACUCCGUGCCAGCAGCCGCGGUAAUAUGGAGGGUACGAGCGUUAUCCGGAUUUAUUGGGUUUAAAGGGAGCGUAGGUGGGUUGUUAAGUCAGUUGUGAAAGUUUGCGGCUCAACCGUAAAAUUGCAGUUGAUACUGGCAGUCUUGAGUACAGUUGAGGUAGGCGGAAUUCGUGGUGUAGCGGUGAAAUGCUUAGAUAUCACGAAGAACCCCGAUUGCGAAGGCAGCUUACUGGACUGUAACUGACAUUGAGGCUCGAAAGUGUGGGUAUCAAACAGGAUUAGAUACCCCAGUAGUC